Molecule: unclassified non-coding RNA, 567 nt
Filed under: Phyllachoraceae sp. YEP742
Lineage: Eukaryota; Fungi; Ascomycota; Sordariomycetes; Phyllachorales; Phyllachoraceae
Description: sequence contains ITS1, 5.8S rRNA gene and ITS2
Source: RNAcentral
UUAUUUCCUCCGUUAUUGAUAUGCUUAAGUUCAGCGGGUAUUCCUACCUGAUCCGGAGGUCCACCUUUUGAAAAAUUGGGGGGUUUUACGGCCAAGAGUCCCUCCGGAUCCCAGUGCGAGACGUAAAGUUACUACGCAAAGGAGGCUCCGGGAGGGUCCGCCACUACCUUUGAGGGCCUACAUCAGCUGUAGGGCCCCAACACCAAGCAGAGCUUGAGGGUUGAAAUGACGCUCGAACAGGCAUGCCCGCCAGAAUGCUGGCGGGCGCAAUGUGCGUUCAAAGAUUCGAUGAUUCACUGAAUUCUGCAAUUCACAUUACUUAUCGCAUUUCGCUGCGUUCUUCAUCGAUGCCAGAACCAAGAGAUCCGUUGUUAAAAGUUUUGAUUAUUUGCUUGUACCACUCAGAAGAAACGUCGUUAAAUCAGAGUUUGGUUAUCCUCCGGCGGGCGCCGACCCGCCCGGAGGCGGGAGGCCGGGAGGGUCGCGGAGACCCUACCCGCCGAAGCAACAGUUAUAGGUAUGUUCACAAAGGGUUAUAGAGCGUAAACUCAGUAAUGAUCCCUCCGC